GAUAGAGGUGCGGGAAUGGCGUGUAGAUGGGAAGAGGCGGCCAACGCUGAUGAAACUCAUUGAAGAGCCUUGCCGCCGAAAAGAGAAGCGUGGCGGUUUCUGCUUUGGGGGUACACUCGAGGAGGGUACCACUGUCAUCAUAAGAGGCUAUGGUGGAGUGCUAUCGGU
Molecule: non-coding RNA, 168 nt
Filed under: bovine gut metagenome
Description: Lysine riboswitch
Rfam family: Lysine riboswitch aptamer
About the family: Riboswitches are metabolite binding domains within certain messenger RNAs that serve as precision sensors for their corresponding targets. Allosteric rearrangement of mRNA structure is mediated by ligand binding, and this results in modulation of gene expression. This family includes riboswitches that sense lysine in a number of genes involved in lysine metabolism, including lysC.
Source: RNAcentral